GCCUACGGGGGGCAGCAGUAGGGAAUUUUCGUCAAUGGGCGCAAGCCUGAACGAGCAAUGCCGCGUGAACGAGGAAGGUCUUCGGAUCGUAAAGUUCUGUUGAAGGGGAAAAAGAGCGGAGAGAGGAAUGGUCUCCGAUUGAUAUUACCCUUCGAGGAAGUCACGGCUAACUACGUGCCAGCAGCCGCGGUAAUACGUAGGUGGCGAGCGUUAUCCGGAAUGAUUGGGCGUAAAGGGUGCGUAGGCGGCCUGCUAAGUCUGGAGUGAAAGGUACCGGCUCACCCGGUACAGGCUCUAGAAACUGG
This 305-nucleotide ribosomal RNA is filed under the name uncultured bacterium. RNAcentral describes it as "bacterial SSU rRNA". It matches the Rfam family "Bacterial small subunit ribosomal RNA", at positions 337 to 636 of the family's 1533-position model. The record is from RNAcentral.